GAUGAACGCUAGCGGCAGGCUUAACACAUGCAAGUCGAGGGGCAGCGCGGGAUAGCAAUAUCCUGGCGGCGACCGGCGGAAGGGUGCGUAACGCGUGAGCGACAUGCCCGUUGCCCGGGGACAACCGGUGGAAACGCCGACUAAUCCCCGAUGGGAUAUUGUGCCGCAUGGCACGAUAUUGAAAGUUACGGCGGCGACGGAUUGGCUCGCGUCCGAUUAGCUUGUUGGCGGGGUAACGGCCCCCCAAGGCUGCGAUCGGUAGGGGUUCUGAGAGGAAGGCCCCCCACAAUGGGACUGAGACACGGCCCAUACUCCUACGGGAGGCAGCAGUGAGGAAUAUUGGUCAAUGGGCGGAAGCCUGAACCAGCCAUGCCGCGUGCGGGAAGGAGGCCCUAUGGGCUGUGAACCGCUUUUGCCUGGGGGCAAUAAGGGCGUCGCGCACGUCCGAUGAGAGUACCAGGCGAAUAAGCAUCGGCUAACUCCGUG
RNAcentral lists this ribosomal RNA (486 nucleotides) under uncultured bacterium. RNAcentral's name for it is "partial 16S ribosomal RNA". It matches the Rfam family "Bacterial small subunit ribosomal RNA", at positions 28 to 507 of the family's 1533-position model. The record is from RNAcentral.